This 85-nucleotide transfer RNA is filed under the name Dehalococcoidia bacterium. RNAcentral's name for it is "tRNA-Leu". It matches the Rfam family "tRNA". From Rfam's summary of the family: Transfer RNA (tRNA) molecules are approximately 80 nucleotides in length. The record is from RNAcentral. Lineage: Bacteria; Bacillati; Chloroflexota; Dehalococcoidia.
GCCGGGGUGGCGGAAUCGGCAGACGCGAGGGACUUAAAAUCCCUUGGACCAAAAGUUCGUGCGGGUUCGACCCCCGCCCCCGGCA